AAGAAAAGAAUUAGGUUUUCUUUUUCCGAAAAUUUUCUCUCCUCUCCUCUCCCCGUGCGUCGGCGUUUUCUCUCGGGCGAAAUCCACAGCAAGAGCUGGGGCGUCUCCGGCGGCCGGCGAAGGAGUAUUUCUAUGAGGUCUUCACACCGUUGAGGUCCUCUCGUCGAGGAGGGUCCGUGAGCACAAGAAGAGCUCGAGUUAUCCGAACCCUAGAACGUUCCCUCUUCGGCUGUGAGUUCAAGAACGCAAGAUAAAGGAAGACGAGGAGGAGGUGCGGAUGGUGUGUGAUGUCAGGACUAUGGGAGAGACUUGGGAUGUUGUUGAGUUUUCCGCAUUUUAGUGAUUGUUAAAUAUUGAGAUUGUAUUUUGAGUUCCAUGUCGUUUGAGAUUGUUUUAGAUAGUAUGUUAAGAUGAAUUCAGUAUAGUAAGUAUGUAUUUUUGGUGUUUGACACUUAUUUAACUGCGUGGAUGUUUAAUAUA
Molecule: long non-coding RNA, 480 nt
Organism: Zingiber officinale
Lineage: Eukaryota; Viridiplantae; Streptophyta; Magnoliopsida; Zingiberales; Zingiberaceae
Exons: 2
Source: RefSeq, a predicted model, not a curated record